AUGGGACAGGGCUUAUAGGACGCCCGCAGCAUUCCACCUCUGCCUGCUUCAAGGGCACGAGGCAGGGAUGGGACACUCGCCGAACAUUCUGGGAAGCCAGGGCUACGCUCUGCCUGCCAUUCAUUCCUGCUGCUCCUACCAGUGCCUCCUUGAUCCUCCUGAGGAUUCAGGUCAGCAGGUUUGCACGACCUCAGCUGGCCAUGGAUGCAACGGGGACAAACUGUCCUUUGUGCACUCGGGGCUGCCUGGGGGUGCAAAUGUGUGCUGGCUCUUCCUGGAAGAGGAUGGGCCCAUGGCUGCAGCCCCAGCAUACCUGGGCAUGGGCCCUCGAGACGGACCAGGAAACUAAGGCUCAGAGAGAGGCCGUGUGUCCAAGUGGCUGCCUCUGCCAAGGAGAGAAUCUGGGACUCAGACACAGGUCCACCGACCCCAGAGUCCACACUGGUCAGCUCCAGCCUGCCAGAGACAGGAGAGGGCCCUCGCUCCAGCCUGGCUCUGCCCCAACCUGCUGGCAGCACUUGUAUCCGGUCAGGAGGUGUGUGUGGUGUGCAAGAACGGAAGAGGAGGCAGCACAAAGCUCAGUAAGGCUCAGCUCUGGCACUGCCCCUUCCCGGAGGCCUUCCUGACCACCAUUAGUGGCCGGGCCUUGCCUCGGAGGGCCCGAACCCUGGCAUCACUCAGUACAGGGCUGAGCACAGAGGGGACGAGAAUCAGAGCGAAGUGAACAUUGGACAGGAGGUAACCCCCAGACACCUCAACCUACUCCCAGCAUGCCUCUGUCCAUCCCCCCGAAGAGACAGGUCUGGUAAGCCCUGCAGGUCAGGAACGCCAUGCCGGGACAAAGGAACCUUAUCUUGGGGGCACUGGGGAGCCAUCGCUGUUUGGGGACUGAGGAGUUGUAUGCCCGGAGCUGAGAGCUGGACCGACUGCCCCGGAGCCAGAAAACAGCCAGACAGGCCUGGGCUGAGACCUAGAAGGCAGGCCCUCCUGUGGUUUAUUCAGAACGUCUGCCUACACAACUAAAGAAGGAUCCAUCCAAGCAAAGACUGGCCUGGGGUGUCCCCUGCAGUACAGUUUAUAAGAACAGAACAACCUGGAUGUCCAUCAAUGAGGGACCCAGUAGAUAAACCAAGGAACUCGACUGCUGCCUGGCUGUAGUUACAGGAACAAAGCAAGUUAUAACCUGCUGUGAGCUAAUGGACCCUAUUCUCUAUAAAAGUAUACAUUAGCGGUUGCCUGGGCUGGGUGUGGAAGGCUGGGUGUGGACCAGGGAGCAGUUGUAAAUAGAGGGGAUGAAAAUGUUCCACAACUAACUGGUGAUGGUCAACACAACUUGGUCAACGUAAAAACUUAUUGUACACUUAAAAUGGGUAAAUCUUACGACAGGUAAAUUGUACCUCAAUGAUGUUUUCAAAAAGUAGAUCACAAGUGUAGAGCCAUUCAAAAACAAAUAUAU
Molecule: long non-coding RNA, 1456 nt
Organism: Acinonyx jubatus (cheetah)
Lineage: Eukaryota; Metazoa; Chordata; Mammalia; Carnivora; Felidae
Exons: 4
Source: RefSeq, a predicted model, not a curated record